This 1097-nucleotide long non-coding RNA is filed under the name Calidris pugnax (ruff). Its description in RNAcentral is "lncRNA (ENSCPUG00000016603.1)". The record is from RNAcentral. Lineage: Eukaryota; Metazoa; Chordata; Aves; Charadriiformes; Scolopacidae.
GUGGUCAUUUUGAUGUCCUUCUGGAACAGACAAGUGUGGCUUUCAGCCCACAACAAGGCACCAUGUUACUAAUUGGGCUGGUGGGGCUACGUGGGAUCGUCACUGUCACACUAGGAGGGGAUGGGGAGCACUCGGUGGGGGGCUCUGCCAGGGUCCUGGCACACAGGAUGAGCCCUGAGCAUCAAAACCUCACAUGUAGCAAAAACUCGUGGUCAAAGGAGUGCUUUUGGCUCCACAGAGGGGCAUUUUUCUCAAGUCAUUAUUUCUUCCCGUAGGAAAGAGAACGUGGGCAUUGCAUGUGACACCAUGUGAUGUGGAAGCAAGAGACAUCGAUGUUCCUUCAAACUCAUGGUCAGGCUUACCCCAGCCUGGGAGGGUGCCAGGGAAUGGUUUCCCUUGUGACUACCUGCUCAUGCUGCAGACAGGACAUUGCUCAGCCCCAUUUGGAUGUGCUUUUCAAGGAGCAGGUCUUCAAGCUGAGUUUUUCCAACCCCCUUCAGCUUCUGUCCCUGCCUCUUGCCUUCCUCCUGUGAAGACAUCAGAUGCUGGAGCUGCUCCAAUCCCUCCCUGCAGGGUUGUCCCUGGAGGAGAUUUCCACCUAGACUUGUCCUUCAGCACUGGAACGCUCUACAAAGGGAGCUCAGCACAGAGCAGGAGGAGUAACCAAGCCAGCAUGUUUUGAGAAUUGUGAUUGUGAAAAUGCAGCUUUACCAGGGCUGAAGGGGAGCACGUACAGCUCCAGCCCCUCUGGCCAUGCCUGGGGCCAAGCUGGCUGCCAGCUCUUCUUGCAGCAUAGUCACCCAAGGGAGUUUUGCACCACAGUGCUGUGAAGGAUGCUGUGUCGUGUGUGAAGGAGAGGGAGAUGACAGCUGCUUGCUUCGGGGCCAGAAGCAAAGCUGAGGCUGGUACGAGUUCAGACCUGACCGCGAUGUGCCGUAUGUGUGAAGAGGGAGAGUCAGCAGAGACAUUGGUGCCCUCCAAGUUGGCAAGACCAUUGACAAGGGAGCAGUUGCUCACUGGGAGCUGAGAGCAUGAAACAAGAAGAAGCUGCAGGUGGAGCACAACAUGACACCACCUCUGGCAGCAUCAGCAGCACU